This 216-nucleotide ribosomal RNA is filed under the name Glomeromycotina sp. RNAcentral's name for it is "partial small subunit ribosomal RNA". The stretch from base 40 to 216 matches the Rfam family "Eukaryotic small subunit ribosomal RNA", at positions 686 to 864 of the family's 1831-position model. Lineage: Eukaryota; Fungi; Glomeromycota. The record is from RNAcentral.
GGGUCAGUAGAUUGGUCGUGCCACCGGUACGUACUGGUCUCACUGCUUCCUCCUUCCUGAAUAACCGUAAUGCCAUUAAUUUGGUGUUGCGGGGAAACAGGACUGUUACUUUGAAAAAAUUAGAGUGUUUAAAGCAAGCUAACGCUUGAAUACAUUAGCAUGGAAUAAUGAAAUAGGACGAUCGAUCCUAUUUUGUUGGUUUCUAGGAUUGACGUA